Molecule: non-coding RNA, 53 nt
Filed under: Escherichia coli
Lineage: Bacteria; Pseudomonadati; Pseudomonadota; Gammaproteobacteria; Enterobacterales; Enterobacteriaceae
Source: RNAcentral
AUAUAGUUUUUCCGCUGCCGCAAAAUCGGCAGCCGGGCGUGAGAACCCGAGUA